GAGAUGUCCUACAUGUCAGAGAGAGAGAGAGAUGUCCUACAUGUCAGAGAGAGAGAGAGAGAUGUCCUACAUGUCAGAGAGACAGAGAGAUGUCCUACAUGUCAGAGAGAGAGAGAGAUAUGUCCUACAUGUCAGAGAGAGAGAGAUGUCCUACAUGUCAGAGAGAGAGAGAGAUGUCCUACAUGUCAGAGAGAGAGAGAGAUGUCCAACAUGUCAGAUAGAGAGAGAGAGAUGUCCUACAUGUCAGAUAGAGAGAGAGAUGUCCUACAUGUCAGAGAGAGAGAUGUCCUACAUGUCAGAGAGAGAGAGAGAUGUCCUACAUGUCAGAGAGAGAGAGAGAGAUGUCCUACAUGUCAGAGAGAGAGAGAGAUGUCCUACAUGUCAGAGAGAGAGAGAGAUGUCCUACAUGUCAGAGAGAGAGAGAGAUGUCCUACAUGUCAGAGAGAGAGAGAGAGAUGUCCUACAUGUCAGAGAGAGAU
Molecule: long non-coding RNA, 479 nt
Organism: Oncorhynchus tshawytscha (Chinook salmon)
Lineage: Eukaryota; Metazoa; Chordata; Actinopteri; Salmoniformes; Salmonidae
Source: Ensembl